Molecule: long non-coding RNA, 3455 nt
Organism: Pyrus x bretschneideri (Chinese white pear)
Lineage: Eukaryota; Viridiplantae; Streptophyta; Magnoliopsida; Rosales; Rosaceae
Exons: 2
Source: RefSeq, a predicted model, not a curated record
AAUAAAGGGUAAAAUGAAUAGUAUCAGGAUUGAGUUUUUAAUAUAAAAAUGUGAUUUUUCAUUAAAGUGAACAAUACUGUGAAUUUUUUGUUAAAACUCAUUUUUUUUUCAUACAAACAUAUGGUCCAAAUUUAUAGAUCCUUAAACUCUAGACACUAAGGUCCAUAAUGGAUCUAGUUCCUCAAAAUAUUUCGCGCUCACACAAUCGGCUUAAUUAAUAUAGAAACAAUUUCCACACAUAAAUUUUUAUCUCUUUUUUUUACCAAAAUAUUUUUCUUUUUGAACACCUUAAUGAAUACCGCUUUCAUUUUCUUUUGUUUAAUCUUUAAAAAGUAAAAAUAAAUAAGAGCGCGGAAAAAAAAUUAAUGGAAAUCUCCCCUUAAUAUGUAGCUGCCUUUCUUUGAUCUAUAAAAAUCCACCAACUAUUCUUCUUAUUCUUCUCUUCCUCCUCCUCCUCCUCCUUCUUCUUUAUCUUGUCAAUUCUUCGCCUUCUUAUUCUCGUCAAUUCUUCUUCUUCUGGUAAAUUCUUUUUCUACACCCUUCAAUCUCAUAUCCAUACCCCUACAAACUCAAAGAUGGAUGACAAAAUUACUAAUAAGUCAUCAGUUCAUAAAGAAGCAGCCACCCUUCCACCCAAGAGAGGUAAAAUCAAAUCCAAAAUCUUUGAGGACAUAAAAGAGACUGUCAUCAAUCUGAUAGGAAUGGGAAAUGCAAGUGACAGCUCAUCAGCAGCUCCAGCAAAUCAGCAGCCAAAUGAAAAGAAAAAGGCUUGAAGAGCAGAUUCUUUCUGUUGGUGAAUCUUUCAAGUUUUUUACUGUGACAAAUUUCCUGUUUUAACUUUAUGCACAUUGUUAUGUUGUAAUUUUUACAAUCGAUUUGUUCUUGCUUGAAGUCAAAUUAUUCCCCUUUUACUAACUAAUUCACAUGUUUGAGAAAUUUGAAAAUGUCCCAUUUUAUGAAGAUUAUGUAGGAAAUGAAGGUGUUAAAUUGCUAUAAAUAAUGAACAGAAAUUAAAUAUUAUGAAUAUGCACGCAAUAGAAUGGAAUUAGAAAAAUCUCAAUUGAGUUUAGGCAAGCUUUCGACGCUUUGACCUUAAGACGAUUGCCGCCCCAUAUUUGUUCUUGUGGUUUACUAUGGUGUUCGUCUCCCAUAAGACGACUCCCUCCUUGUGAAAGAAGUACUGCAAUUCAUAAGGCUCAUUUGAACUCGAAUAUGCAGGAACUUUCUUGAACGAAUUAUUCUAUAAUACAUGCCUAAAUGAUCUCUAGUAUGUAGAAGUAGUGAGUGUAAUUGAAUGAAUAACUUGCAGGAGUAUUCCUAUAUUUAUAGAGAGUCGCUUUGUGUAAUUUAACAUGGGAAAGGUUUCUAUAUGAGUUUAAUUUAUGGGAAGGUGGCGGCUAAGGAUUCGAAGAACUUAGGAGAUGGAAUACAUCUCCCUUUUAGUGUGCAAGAGUUGCCUGAUGAUAAACACGAGUCCCCCAAUGAUGAACUAGAGAGUCAUUGUUGUGAAGAAGAAAUCAACUUUAUCCGGAGCCCGGAGUUGUAUGCGGUUCUUAACUUUGAUCCCUGUUGUAUAAAUUUCAGCCAGCUAUCUUUUUUACAAUAUAUGAUCUAACUUACACGUUAUAAUUCUGAUAUUAGGAUCGCCUCUGGAAUGCCUGUUCAGGUGAGCAGUUGGUACUUUAGGUUAAUAGUUUUAAUUCGUGGAUAGCCACAAGUAAGUGUGCUGUGACUCCGUAUGAGGACCUCCUUCCCUUCUGCCCACUCUCCGUUCUCUAGGGAGUGGAAAAGGGAGAUUCAUUGCAUGAAAUAAAGCCACAACUGAGAAGCUCUAGCCAUCUCAUUGACUAGCAGUCCCGCAACUUGUUCACACAUUUCAUGUUAAACAAGGUGGAACCAGUUGUGAGCUAUAUUGCUUCAUCAUAAGCCCUGACUGAACGCAAAAAUUGCUUGACGGAGAAGAUACCAAUUUUUUAGACGUUCUGGUAUUAUGAAUCUAUGCUUCAAAAAAUGUGAUACGUUUUCUGUAAUAUUCUGAUUUCACAUUUUUAUAAAUACAUUGAAGAAAUUAAAAGAUAAACAGUUUGAUUAGUAUAUAUGUGUAGAUCAGAAUUACGCAUGUUUUAGAAUUUCAAUCAUUGCAUGGUCUCGUCUAUUUCCACAACAGUCUGAAUGCUACGUAAGGAUUAUCUACGUUCCUUGAACAAUCUCCGUGUGUUGUUUGUUUAUCUAUAUCCUUCCCCUUUCUGGAUAAGAAGUUUGUGUUUCUUAGGUACAUAGAACUUGAGUCUUGACAGAGAUAGUAGUGCUAUCCUGGUGAUGGGAAGGACACAACCAAGUGCGACGUUCUGCAUUCCAUCUUCCGUAAGAAAACUGCUUGAGCAUCAAAUGAUGUGCGGAGAUUGUGGUAAGGUGUAUUACAUAGAAUGAUUCUAGAUCAUGCUGGCAGCAUGUGUGCCGUCGCUAUGCAGAGAAAGAAGAUAGUGCAAUGUUGUUGCAGAUUGUGUAAGUGUACAACAAGUUUGCAUUUAACGGGGCAAUGUCACAACCCUGGGGAAGUAGUGCAGCUACGGCUACACCAUGUGAAUGAAUGUAGCUCUGAAAAGAACACGAGCAAGUUGCAAAGUCCUUCAACUACUCGUAGUAUGCAGAUGGGUGUUGUCUGAGGUGCCUUCGUGGAAACGGCCUGCGGUGGGGUAUGUUAAAAUAAAUUGUGAUCGGUCAUGGUGCUCGCAGACAGGUUUUGGUGGAUACGGGUGGGUUGUGCGGUCGUCGGCUGGUAUAUUUAAAGAGGCUGGUGGCUUUCUGUGCAGCUCUAGUGCGACAGUGGAGCCAUAUAUCAUUAGAGCAGGACUAACCGCUUGUCCAGAAUGGGGUUUUAGGAAAGCUGAGUUGGAAUCAGACGCAAAAAGAGAUAUUAGAUAUGGUGACAACAGGGAAGACUACAGAAGGGAUCAUCCACGACAUUCACAUCCUAGCUUCUCAGUUCGAGUCAGCUGUGUUGAAAUUUCCGCUCUAUCUUUUGUGGCUGCCUAUGCUGUUAAGGAAAAUGGUGUUGUUGAGUGGGAUGGUUUUGAGCUGUCAUCUCCAAACGAGAUGUCAAAUACGCCAAAGAGAACUAUAAAAUAUUGAGGUGUUCUCCAAUUUUUUUUUCUUUUUAAAAGGGGAGCAACUAGUAGCAAGUCACGGUUAUCCACCUCUUCUGGGAGUUGAGAGACUCACAAUGACAUUUCAGCCUCCCCUGACCACAAGUCUGACUUCCACACCAGCAGCGGGUUUCAAACCCAAGACUUCAAGUUUUUAAUUUGAAUGAAGCCUCGCAAUUCAUCCUUUAGCUCGUGGUUAAGGUGUACUCCAAUUGACAUGCAAUAUAUGAUGUGGUCUUCUAGCUUGUCUUUUUUAUUACAACAAAGCAAAGAAGAAGUCAAAUAUAUUUAAUAUAUUUUUUUAAUGCA